UAUCUAUUUUGUGAAGUGCACCAGUCCCUCCUGCAGCAAAGCACCCUCACAACAUGAUGCUGCCACCCUCGUGCUUCACGGUUGGGAUGGUGUUCUUCGGCUUGCAAGACUCCCCCUUUUUCCUCCAAACAUAACGAUGGUCAUCAUGGCCAAACAGUUCUAUUUUUGUUUCAUCAGACCAGAGAACAAAAAGUACAAUCUUUGUCACCAUGUGCAGUUGCAAACUGUAGUCUGGCUUUUUUAUGGCGGUUUUGGAGCAGUGGCUUCUUCCUUGCUGAGCGGCCUUUCAGGUUAUGUCGAUAUAGGACUCGUUGUACUGUGGAUAUAGAUACUUUUGUACCUGUUUCCUCCAGCAUCUUCACAAGGUCCUUUGCUGUUGUUCUGGGAUUGAUUUGCACUUUCCGUACCAAAGUAAGCUCAUCUCUAGGAGACAGAACACGUCUCCUUCCUGAGCGGUAUGACGGCUGCGUGGUCCCAUGGUGUUUAUACUUGCGUACUAUUGUUUGUACAGAUGAACGUGGUACCUUCAGGCGUUCGGAAAUUGCUCCCAAGGAUGAACCAGACUUGUGGAGGUCUACAAUAGUUUUUCUGAGGUCUUGGCUGAUUUCUUUUGAUUUUCCCAUGACGUCAAGCAAAGAGGCACUGAGUUUGAAGGUAGGCUUUGAAAUACAUCCACAGGUACACCUCCAAUUGACUCAAAUGAUGUCAAUUAGACAAUCAGAAGCUUCUAAAGCAAUGACAUCAUUUUUUGGAAUUUUCCAUGCUGUUUGAAGGCACAGUCAACUUAGUGUAUGUAAACAUCUGACUGGAAUUGUGAUACAGUGAAUUAUAAGUGAAAUAAUCUGUCUGUAAACAAUUGUUGGAAAAAUUACUUGUGUCAUGCACAAUGUAGAUGUCCUAACCGACUUGUCAAAACUAUAGUUUGUUAACAAGAAAUGUGUGGAGUGGUUGAAAACGAGUUUUAAUGACUCCAACCUAAGUGUAUGUAAACUUCCGACUUCAACUGUACUGUACUGUGCUAUAUAAAGAACAGCCUGUCCUCUCUGAAUGGUACUGUGGUAUAUAAAGAACAGUCUGGCCUCUCUGAAAGGUACUGUGGUAUAUAAAGAACAGCCUGUCCUCUCUGAAAGGUACUGUGGUAUAUAAAGAACAGCCUGUCCUCUCUGAAAGGUACUGUGGUAUAUAAAGAACAGCCUGUCCUCUCUGAAAGGUACUGUGCUAUAUAAAGAACAGCCUGUCCUCUCUGAAAGGUACUGUGGUAUAUAAAGAACAGCCUGUCCUCUCUGAAAGGUACUGUGGUAUAUAAAGAACAGCCUGUCCUCUCUGAAAGGUACUGUGGUAUAUAA
Molecule: long non-coding RNA, 1346 nt
Filed under: Salmo salar (Atlantic salmon)
Lineage: Eukaryota; Metazoa; Chordata; Actinopteri; Salmoniformes; Salmonidae
Description: lncRNA (ENSSSAG00000104568.1, ENSSSAG00000106283.1)
Source: RNAcentral